UGUCCUACGGGAGGCAGCAGUGGGGAAUAUUGGACAAUGGGCGCAAGCCUGAUCCAGCCAUACCGCGUGGGUGAAGAAGGCCUUCGGGUUGUAAAGCCCUUUUGUUGGGAAAGAAAAGCAGCCGGUUAAUACCCGGUUGUUCUGACGGUACCCAAAGAAUAAGCACCGGCUAACUUCGUGCCAGCAGCCGCGGUAAUACGAAGGGUGCAAGCGUUACUCGGAAUUACUGGGCGUAAAGCGUGCGUAGGUGGUUGUUUAAGUCUGUCGUGAAAGCCCUGGGCUCAACCUGGGAAUGGCGAUGGAAACUGGGCGACUAGAGUGUGGCAGAGGGUAGUGGAAUUCCUGGUGUAGCAGUGAAAUGCGUAGAGAUCAGGAGGAACAUCCGUGGCGAAGGCGACUGCCUGGGCCAACACUGACACUGAGGCACGAAAGCGUGGGGAGCAAACAGGAUUAGAUACCCGAGUAGUCCUG
RNAcentral lists this ribosomal RNA (471 nucleotides) under uncultured bacterium. RNAcentral's name for it is "bacterial SSU rRNA". It matches the Rfam family "Bacterial small subunit ribosomal RNA", at positions 335 to 798 of the family's 1533-position model. The record is from RNAcentral.